GUCCCUAGCAGAAAAGGAGGCACAGAGAUGCAGAUGGAGAAUUCAGAGCAUGGAUUGCAGGCAAGUUCAGUGCAAUUCAAGCUCAAAUCCUAUAAAAGACUAUAUCCAAGAGUACCAGAAAAACAGCAUAGGAGCUGAAUUUCCUACAUUCGAACUACCACUCUUUACUUGAUCUUAGCCAAAAGGCUUAGAGAUGAUCUCUCCAAACCGCUCUUGUCAGAAUCUGCCUGGAGACAGGGUUUCACCAUGUUGGACAGGCUGAUCUCAAACUCCUGACCUCAAGUUGUCCACCUGCUUCAGCCUCCCAAAGUGCUGGGGUUACAAAGGUGAGCCACCGCACCUGGGCCCCUGCCAUCUUCUUUACCUUCUUUUUACUCUCUCAAUGUAUAGUUUUCUCCUUUCUAAUUAUUCGUAAUAGGAAUGUUUCAUAAUCUACAAA
This is a long non-coding RNA of Homo sapiens (human), 439 nucleotides long. Ensembl annotates it as long intergenic non-protein coding RNA 366. Lineage: Eukaryota; Metazoa; Chordata; Mammalia; Primates; Hominidae. The record is from Ensembl.